UACGUAGGGUGCGAGCGUUAAUCGGAAUUACUGGGCGUAAAGCGUGCGCAGGCGGUUGGGCGUGUCCGAUGUGAAAGCCCCGGGCUUAACCUGGGAAUGGCAUUGGAAACUGGCUGGCUGGAGUGUGGCAGAGGGGGGUGGAAUUCCACGUGUAGCAGUGAAAUGCGUAGAGAUGUGGAGGAACACCGGUGGCGAAGGCGGCCUGCUGGGCAGUAGCUGACGCUGAGGCGCGACAGCGUGGGGAGCAAACAGG
RNAcentral lists this ribosomal RNA (253 nucleotides) under uncultured bacterium. RNAcentral's name for it is "partial 16S ribosomal RNA". It matches the Rfam family "Bacterial small subunit ribosomal RNA", at positions 524 to 776 of the family's 1533-position model. The record is from RNAcentral.